RNAcentral lists this ribosomal RNA (481 nucleotides) under uncultured bacterium. Its description in RNAcentral is "bacterial SSU rRNA". It matches the Rfam family "Bacterial small subunit ribosomal RNA", at positions 32 to 524 of the family's 1533-position model. The record is from RNAcentral.
AAUCAACGCUGGCGGCGUGCCUCAGACAUGCAAGUCGAACGAUUAAAGCUCCCUUCGGGGAGUGCAUAAAGUGGCGCACGGGUGAGUAACACGUAAGUAAUCUACCCUCGGGUGGGGAAUAACAUCGGGAAACCGAUGCUAAUACCGCAUAAUGCAGCGGCACCGCAAGGUGACAGUUGUUAAAGAUUUAUUGCCUGGGGAGGAGCUUGCGGCAGAUUAGCUUGUUGGUAAGGAACGGCUUACCAAGGCUACGAUCUGUAUCCGGUCUAAGAGGACGGUCGGACACACUGACACUGAAUAACGGGUCAGACUCCUACGGGAGGCAGCAGUCGGGAAUUUUGGGCAAUGGGGGAAACCCUGACCCAGCAACGCCGCGUGAAGGAUGAAGUAUUUCGGUAUGUAAACUUCGAAAGAAUAGGAAGAAUUAAUGACGGUACUAUUUAUAAGGUCCGGCUAACUACGUGCCAGCCGCCGCCGUAAG